Molecule: ribosomal RNA, 257 nt
Filed under: uncultured Gardnerella sp.
Lineage: Bacteria; Bacillati; Actinomycetota; Actinomycetes; Bifidobacteriales; Bifidobacteriaceae
Description: partial 16S ribosomal RNA
Rfam family: Bacterial small subunit ribosomal RNA
Source: RNAcentral
CGAACGGGUGAGUAAUGCGUGACCAACCUGCCCCAUGCUCCAGAAUAGCUCUUGGAAACGGGUGGUAAUGCUGGAUGCUCCAACUUGACGCAUGUCUUGUUGGGAAAGUGUUUAGUGGCAUGGGAUGGGGUCGCGUCCUAUCAGCUUGUAGGCGGGGUAAUGGCCCACCUAGGCUUCGACGGGUAGCCGGCCCUGAGAGGGCGGACGGCCACAUUGGGACUGAGAUACGGCCCAGACUCCUACGGGAGGCAGCAGUA